Molecule: long non-coding RNA, 1329 nt
Organism: Rosa rugosa (rugosa rose)
Lineage: Eukaryota; Viridiplantae; Streptophyta; Magnoliopsida; Rosales; Rosaceae
Exons: 4
Source: RefSeq, a predicted model, not a curated record
AUCGUGUGUCGACCUUUCCGUCACCUGCAUCAAAAUCGGUUCUCCCUAUAUAUCCCUUUUCUUCUUUCUAUUUCAAUCUUUAAUGACUCAAAAGUGAAAAAUAUGUAUUUCUCUCCCACGAAAUUUUAUUAAAUUUGGUUCAAAAAAUGAAAUCAAAGAUUAGAUUACAUGAACUUGGAUCUGGGUUUUUCCGUAAUGGUUCUAAGACUAAUGCUUUUAGUUAAUUACUUGUUUUACUUGACAACAAUUUGCAGAUCUGUAUGAUGGUAAUACAUCUAUCCUUAGAUAUGGUAUGGUUUUUGUUCUUGAAGAUGGUGUAGAGGUACUAAUUCACCCACUUUAGCCUUUUCUUUCAUUAUAUAUAGUUGCCCAUAUUAAUAAUUGACCAUUGCUUCUGAAUAUGACUCACACUGUGUUAUAGCAAUACUAUUAUGAAGCUUUUGAGCUGAAACUUUAUUCCUAACAAGUUCAUUUAGACUUGGAUAACAAAGUAGCUACCUUGUCAGAACAGAGGUAAUAUUCAACUAAAAAUCUGCAGUUUUACUUUUCUCCUAUGGCAGUGGCUGACCAAUUCGCAACUUUCCAUCAUACAUGCACAAGUCAUUGUUCAUGUAUUGUUGGUGAACAUAUGCUUCAAAUUCUAUAGUAGAAAUACUUUAUACUGCAUUCCAAACUUUUUUGCUGAGAGCCUUGGUAUUUGUAUAAUAUAUAGAUCAAAUAUAUAAUUGAAGGCCAGGAAACAAUGGUGGAAUAUUUUCACACUUUUUCAUAUAAAAAAAUAUCUCAUACUUGCUUCAACACUGAUGGGCAUUAAAAAUGAGCAAAACUAAUGCUAGCUAAUGAGAUCAUUUUUGUCUUUCUUUUAGUUGGCAGCUAUGGAAUUGCAUUCAACAAACAAGAACAACGGAAUAGCAUAACCUUUCACAGGGAAGGCAUAGAGAAAAUGAAAUUGGAAUCAGUUCUGAAAUUUCAAAGAAUUUAGCUUGUUGUAUGCCUCCAAGAUCUUAUAGUGACAAUGAGUUCAAGGUUAUUUAACAGACUUUGAGCAAGCUCAAGGUUUGAAAUGGUGGGGGAGUUGAGCAAUUACUCAAGUACUGUAUGGUGUUUCGUCAACGUACAAGAUAUACUUACUGCAUUGCUGGUUCACUCCCAGAUAAGUGGCGAAGUGACUCAACAUCAAAAGUUUUGAAGCUGUUUUAGAGAAGUAAUAGAGUAGUUUUAUUUUAUGAUUAUUAUUCUUAUUCUAUUAAGAUUUGUAUCACAGUACACAAGGUAGGAAAACUUGUUGGCAUAGACAAUGCAGUAGGUGUGUAAUUUUAUGAAUGUCAC